GAGAGAGGUCCGGGACACGAAGAUCUGCUAAUUCUUCUUAUCAUGGUUCAAGCCCAUGGCUCACUCGGCCCU
RNAcentral lists this transfer RNA (72 nucleotides) under Carcharhinus amboinensis (pigeye shark). RNAcentral's name for it is "tRNA-Ser". Lineage: Eukaryota; Metazoa; Chordata; Chondrichthyes; Carcharhiniformes; Carcharhinidae. The record is from RNAcentral.